This 413-nucleotide ribosomal RNA is filed under the name uncultured bacterium. RNAcentral describes it as "bacterial SSU rRNA". It matches the Rfam family "Bacterial small subunit ribosomal RNA", at positions 52 to 513 of the family's 1533-position model. The record is from RNAcentral.
CACAUGCAAGUCGAACGAAACUACGGGUUAGUGGCGGACGGGUGAGUAACGCGUGGGAAUCUGCCCUCUUGAGGGGGAUAACGGCUGGAAACGGGCGCUAAUACCCCAUAUGCCGAGAGGUGAAAUGAAUUUCGCCUGAGGAUGAGCCCGCGUCUGAUUAGCUAGUUGGUGGGGUAAGAGCCUACCAAGGCUACGAUCAGUAGCUGGUCUGAGAGGAUGAUCAUCCACCCUGGGACUGAGACACGGCCCACACUCCUACCGGAGGCAGCAGUGGGGAAUUUUCCCCAAUGUCGAAAGCCUGACGGAGCAACGCCGCGUGAGGGAUGAAGGCCUCUGGGCUGUAAACCUCUUUUCUCAAGGAAGAAGAUCUGACGGUACUUGAGGAAUAAGCCACGGCUAAUUCCNUGCCAGCC